CCUACGGGUGGCAGCAGUAGGGAAUUUUGCGCAAUGGGCGAAAGCCUGACGCAGCAACGCCGCGUGAUCGAGACGCCCUUCGGGGUGUAAAGAUCUGUCAGUGGGGACGAAACUUGACGGUACCCACAGAGGAAGCACCGGCUAACUCCGUGCCAGCAGCCGCGGUAAUACGGGGGGUGCAAGCGUUGUCCGGAAUCAUUGGCCGUAAAGAGUUCGUAGGCGGCACGUAAAGUCUGGUGUUAAAGGCAGAGGCUCAACUUCUGUACGGCACUGGAUACUUGCGAGCUAGAGUGCGGUAGAGGGAAAGGGAAUUCCUGGUGUAGCAGUGAAAUGCUUAGAUAUCAGGAGGAACAUCGGUGGCGAAGGCGCGUUACUGGGCCGUAAUUGACGCUGAGGAACGAAGGCCAGGGUAGCAAAAGGGAUUAGAUACCCUGGUAGUC
Molecule: ribosomal RNA, 440 nt
Filed under: uncultured bacterium
Lineage: Bacteria
Description: partial 16S ribosomal RNA
Rfam family: Bacterial small subunit ribosomal RNA
Source: RNAcentral